RNAcentral lists this unclassified non-coding RNA (193 nucleotides) under uncultured Cladophialophora. Its description in RNAcentral is "sequence contains ITS1". The record is from RNAcentral. Lineage: Eukaryota; Fungi; Ascomycota; Eurotiomycetes; Chaetothyriales; Herpotrichiellaceae.
ACGAGUUAGGGUCUUCUAGGCCCGACCUCCCAACCCUUUGUUUAUCGAACCUCUGUUGCUUCGGCGGACCCGUCUCACGACCGCCGGAGGACCGCUGAACGGCGUCCUCUGGCCAGCGUCUGCCGAUGGCCAACCACUUAAAAUUCUGAAUGAAUCGUGUCUCGUGUCUAAGUCUAUGAUUAAAUAAAAAGCA